This 767-nucleotide ribosomal RNA is filed under the name uncultured bacterium. Its description in RNAcentral is "bacterial SSU rRNA". It matches the Rfam family "Bacterial small subunit ribosomal RNA", at positions 62 to 807 of the family's 1533-position model. The record is from RNAcentral.
UCGAACGCGAAAGUCCCGCAAGGGAUAAGUAGAGUGGCAAACGGGUGAGUAACACGUGGGUGACCUGCCUUCGAGUGGGGGAUAACGUCCCGAAAGGGACGCUAAUACCGCAUAACAUCCUGCCUUUGAAGAGGUGGAGAUCAAAGCUGGGGAUCGCAAGACCUAGCGCUGGAAGAGGGGCCCGCGUCUGAUUAGCUAGUUGGUGGGGUAAUGGCUCACCAAGGCAACGAUCAGUAUCCGGCCUGAGAGGGCGGACGGACACACUGGGACUGAGACACGGCCCAGACUCCUACGGGAGGCAGCAGUGGGGAAUUGUUCGCAAUGGGCGCAAGCCUGACGACGCAACGCCGCGUGGAGGAUGAAGACCUUCAGGUCGUAAACUCCUUUCGAUCGAGACGAACGGCUCCCGGACGAAUAAUUCGGGAGAGUGACGGUACCGAGAGAAGAAGCCCCGGCUAACUCCGUGCCAGCAGCCGCGGUAAUNACGGGGGGGGCAAGCGUUGUUCGGAAUUACUGGGCGUAAAGGGCUCGUAGGCUGCCAACUAAGUCAGACGUGAAAUCCCUCGGCUUAACCGGGGAACUGCGUCUGAUACUGGAUGGCUUGAGAUCGGGAGAGGGAUGCGGAAUUCCAGGUGUAGCGGUGAAAUGCGUAGAUAUCUGGAGGAACACCGGUGGCGAAGGCGGCAUCCUGGACCGACACUGACGCUGAGGAGCGAAAGCCAGGGGAGCAAACGGGAAUAGAUACCCCGGUAGUCCUGGCCCUAAAC